AUUGAACGCUGGCGGCAGGCCUAACACAUGCAAGUCGAGCGGAUGAAGGGAGCUUGCUCCUGGAUUCAGCGGCGGACGGGUGAGUAAUGCCUAGGAAUCUGCCUGGUAGUGGGGGAUAACGUCCGGAAACGGGCGCUAAUACCGCAUACGUCCUGAGGGAGAAAGUGGGGGAUCUUCGGACCUCACGCUAUCAGAUGAGCCUAGGUCGGAUUAGCUAGUUGGUGGGGUAAAGGCCUACCAAGGCGACGAUCCGUAACUGGUCUGAGAGGAUGAUCAGUCACACUGGAACUGAGACACGGUCCAGACUCCUACGGGAGGCGGCAGUGUGGAAUAUUGGACAAUGGUCGAAAGCCUGAUCCAGCCAUGCCGCGUGUGUGAAGAAGGUCUUCGGAUUGUAAAGCACUUUAAGUUGGGAGGAAGGGCAGUAAGUUAAUACCUUGCUGUUUUGACGUUACCAACAGAAUAAGCACCGGCUAACUUCGUG
Molecule: ribosomal RNA, 484 nt
Filed under: uncultured bacterium
Lineage: Bacteria
Description: partial 16S ribosomal RNA
Rfam family: Bacterial small subunit ribosomal RNA
Source: RNAcentral